GAUGAACGCUGGCGGCGUGCCUAAUACAUGCAAGUCGAGCGAACGGACGAGAAGGUUGCUUCUCUGAUGUUAGCGGCGGACGUGUGAGUAACACGUGGAUAACCUACCUAUAAGACUGGGAUAACUUCGUGAAACCGGAGCUAAUACCGUAUAAUCUUUUGAACCGCAUGGUUCAAUAGUGAAAGACGGUCUUGCGGUCACUUAUAGAUGGAUCAGCGCUGCAUUAGCUAGUUGGUAAGGUAACGGCUUACCAAGGCAACGAUGCAUAGCCGACCUGAGAGGGUGAUCGGCCACACUGGAACUGAGACACGGCCCAGACUCCUACGGGAGGCAGCAGUAGGGAAUCUUCCGCAAUGGGCGAAAGCCUGACGGAGCAACGCCGCGUGAGUGAUGAAGGUCUUCGGAUCGUAAACCUCUGUUAUUAGGGAAGAACAUAUGUGUAAGUAAAUGUGCACAUCUUGACGGUACCUAAUCAGAAAGCCACGGCUAACUACGUG
RNAcentral lists this ribosomal RNA (497 nucleotides) under uncultured bacterium. RNAcentral's name for it is "partial 16S ribosomal RNA". It matches the Rfam family "Bacterial small subunit ribosomal RNA", at positions 28 to 507 of the family's 1533-position model. The record is from RNAcentral.